ACGGAAGGCAGCAGUGGGGAAUAUUGCACAAUGGGCGCAAGCCUGAUGCAGCGAUGCCGCGUGAGGGAAGAAGGUUUUCGGAUUGUAAACCUCUGUCAACAGGGACGAAAAUGACGGUACCUGUGAAGGAAGCUCCGGCUAACUACGUGCCAGCAGCCGCGGUAAUACGUAGGGAGCAAGCGUUAUCCGGAAUUACUGGGUGUAAAGGGAGUGUAGGCGGGACUGUAAGUCAGAUGUGAAAUAUGCCGGCUCAACUGGCAGACUGCAUUUGAAACUGCGGUUCUUGAGUGAAGUAGAGGUAAGCGGAAUUCCUAGUGUAGCGGUGAAAUGCGUAGAUAUUAGGAGGAAUAUCAGUGGCGAAGGCGGCUUACUGGGCUUUAACUGACGCUGAGGCUCGAAAGCGUGGGGAGCAAACAGGAGGAGAUACCCUGGUA
RNAcentral lists this ribosomal RNA (434 nucleotides) under uncultured Ruminococcus sp. RNAcentral's name for it is "partial 16S ribosomal RNA". It matches the Rfam family "Bacterial small subunit ribosomal RNA", at positions 341 to 792 of the family's 1533-position model. The record is from RNAcentral. Lineage: Bacteria; Bacillati; Bacillota; Clostridia; Eubacteriales; Oscillospiraceae.